This 349-nucleotide ribosomal RNA is filed under the name uncultured bacterium. Its description in RNAcentral is "bacterial SSU rRNA". It matches the Rfam family "Bacterial small subunit ribosomal RNA", at positions 32 to 359 of the family's 1533-position model. The record is from RNAcentral.
AAUCAACGCUGGCGGCGUGCCUAACACAUGCAAGUCGAACGCUGCCAGAGGCUUCGGCCUUUGGCGGAGUGGCGUCCGGGUGAGUAACACGUAGGUAAUCUACCUCCGGGUGGGGAUAACGCCUCGAAGAGGCGCUAAUACCGCAUAAUGCAGCGGCAGCUAAUGCUGAAUAGUUGUUAAAGCGGGGUUAGUCGCAAGACCCUCGCGCCUGAAGAGGAGCUUGCGGCAGAUUAGCUAGUUGGUAAGGUAAUGGCUUACCAAGGCUACGAUCUGUAACCGGUCUAAGAGGACGGUCGGUCACACUGACACUGAAUAACGGGUCAGACUCCUACGGGAGGCAGCAGUCGGG